Molecule: ribosomal RNA, 497 nt
Filed under: uncultured bacterium
Lineage: Bacteria
Description: partial 16S ribosomal RNA
Rfam family: Bacterial small subunit ribosomal RNA
Source: RNAcentral
GAUGAACGCUGGCGGCGUGCCUAAUACAUGCAAGUCGAGCGAACAGACGAGGAGCUUGCUCCUCUGACGUUAGCGGCGGACGGGUGAGUAACACGUGGAUAACCUACCUAUAAGACUGGGAUAACUUCGGGAAACCGGAGCUAAUACCGGAUAAUAUAUUGAACCGCAUGGUUCAAUAGUGAAAGACGGUUUUGCUGUCACUUAUAGAUGGAUCCGCGCCGCAUUAGCUAGUUGGUAAGGUAACGGCUUACCAAGGCAACGAUGCGUAGCCGACCUGAGAGGGUGAUCGGCCACACUGGAACUGAGACACGGUCCAGACUCCUACGGGAGGCAGCAGUAGGGAAUCUUCCGCAAUGGGCGAAAGCUUGACGGAGCAACGCCGCGUGAGUGAUGAAGGUCUUCGGACCGUAAAACUCUGUUAUUAGGGAAGAACAAAUGUGUAAGUAACUAUGCACGUCUUGACGGUGCCUAAUCAGAAAGCCACGGCUAACUACGUG